UAGCCCUUUAGUGUAGCGGUCAAGCAUAUGGGACUCUGACUCCCAUGACCCAGGUUCGAAUCCUGGAGGGGCUAU
This 75-nucleotide transfer RNA is filed under the name uncultured archaeon. RNAcentral describes it as "tRNA-Gln(ctg)". It matches the Rfam family "tRNA". Rfam says of the family: Transfer RNA (tRNA) molecules are approximately 80 nucleotides in length. Their secondary structure includes four short double-helical elements and three loops (D, anti-codon, and T loops). The record is from RNAcentral.